GGGGCCCGAGGACCCGGGGCAGCAGCCAGAAGUCAGGAACCCGGGGACUGGCAGUGGGACCAUCUGGACACGUACCUCAGAAAGAAAAGAAAAAAUAAAAUCCAGCAGCAGGAUAAAUGGAGGGAAACGGCGGGCUAAAGAAACACCAGGGAAAGAUGUAGGAGCAUUAAAGGUGAUCAAACUGAAACACGGCAAAUGCCACGGCAGACCCUGGGGCAAAACGAGCAUCUGCUGCUCUUCACAGCAGAAUUAAACUCGUGUGAAAAGUACCGAGUAAACGCAGGCAAGGAAGUGAAAGGAAAACUGCCUUCAGAGGUACAAGGCAGUAGAUAGGUGUCGGGGACUCUGAUGCUAUUUCCUGUGAGUCUAUAAUUAUUUCAAAAUAAAAAGGUCUUGCAAGGGGACCGAACACGGAUGAGUGGUGACCAGGGGAAAGGGCUGACCAAAAAGAAGCAAAUUGGGGGGGCGGGGCGGGGGCCUGCUCUACAUCUUUAUUGUGUGAGCGACUACACCACUGUUCUGUUCACCACACCCAUAAGACGGUAGAUUUUACUGUAGGUAAAAUAGUUUUAAACUCAAAAUGAUACUGCUAGUAAAGAUGAAUUUCCUAACAUCUUGCAGCAACUAUGGAUAUAAAUUAGAGAUUUGGUGAUCAAUAGGGAAAACAAAAAUUGUGUUUAGGACCAUAAACUUGUGUCGCAUUCCUUAGCUUAGAACUUGUCUUAUUUGAUGAUUCUAAUGCAGAGAACAUUUUAUUGCCAGAGCUUAUAUCUUUAUGUGUUAAAAAGAAACAACAGACCCAAAAUGGAGUCACUUUUGCUAAGCCCCACCAAGACUUGGUACCUAACUAACUGCGGUUUUCAGUCAGUCUGGAAUUUCCCUGGUCGGCACCAGUGAGGCAAUCGGCCUGAUAAAACUCCCUGCCUUCCGCUAUGGGAAGGUAACCUGCUGAAGUGACCCACUCUUUCAGCUUUCUUGUCCGACCCUCUUUCUGGCUGUAAAAACCUUUCAUUGUGUACAACUCAGAGAGCCCCUCUAGGGUGCUAGAUGGGACGCUGCCCAAUCCAUCACCCACUUAAUAAAGCCAAUCACAUCUCCAAAUUUACUCAGUUGAGUUUUGUUUAUUAACAUAUGGCAUUUGACAUUUUGGGAAAUUACUCUGUUUCAUUUGAUUUUUAGUAGUACACGUAUGUACUUACAAUACAUAAAGCCAGGGACUUUGGUACUCAGGGAUUCGAACAUUUGUCUGAAAAAAAGCAAUGGAGGACUGUCAAUUUUUAAUGACAUCCUAUAAUUCUCUAAUUAUCUGUGUUUCCUAAGAAAAAAAGUUUUAGAAAUUUUCUGAGCGUUACUGAAAAUUAGUCGUAAAAGUCAGGAGCCAAGGAUAAGUUAAUAUAGAGUCUCAACAGCAUGGUAGUAUAGCUAAUAAUGAAUAGCAGUGGGAUUGUGUAUUUUGAGGUGUUUUGAGGAUCCUAUUCUUGAUGGUCCAUUUUGUACUAUGAAGAGAAUAGCAUGUUUCAGGAAAUACUCUAUUUGAACUGUUUGAAUAAAGAUUGACACAUUUUAGUAAAUGUUA
Myotis davidii is the source of this 1576-nucleotide long non-coding RNA. RefSeq lists it as uncharacterized. The transcript has 2 exons. The record is from RefSeq and is a predicted model, not a curated record. Lineage: Eukaryota; Metazoa; Chordata; Mammalia; Chiroptera; Vespertilionidae.